Molecule: non-coding RNA, 46 nt
Organism: Picea glauca (white spruce)
Lineage: Eukaryota; Viridiplantae; Streptophyta; Pinopsida; Pinales; Pinaceae
Source: Rfam
AUAAAGGAUGUAUUUACAUCCAUCCAAUGUAGUUUUCAAAUCAUGG